UAAAGGAAGCGAUUCCGGCUACGGAUGGUCAUGCGUCGCAUUAGCUUGUUGGCGGGGUAACGGCCCACCAAGGCGACGAUGCGUAGGGGUUCUGAGAGGAAGGUCCCCCACACUGGUACUGAGACACGGACCAGACUCCUACGGGAGGCAGCAGUGAGGAAUAUUGGUCAAUGGCCGCAGGGCUGAACCAGCCAAGUCGCGUGAGGGAUGACGGUCCUAUGGAUUGUAAACCUCUUUUGUCAGGGAGCAAAGGGCGCCACGUGUGGCGCUUUGCGAGUACCUGAAGAAAAAGCAUCGGCUAACUCCGUGCCAGCAGCCGCGGUAAUACGGAGGAUGCGAGCGUUAUCCGGAUUUAUUGGGUUUAAAGGGUGCGCAGGCGGAAUGUCAAGUCAGCGGUAAAAUUUCGGGGCUCAACCCCGUCGUGCCGUUGAAACUGGCGUUCUUGAGUGAGCGAGAAGUAUGCGGAAUGCGUGGUGUAGCGGUGAAAUGCAUAGAUAUCACGCAGAACUCCGAUUGCGAAGGCAGCAUACCGGCGCUCAACUGACGCUCAUGCACGAAAGCGUGGGUAUCGAACAGGAUUAGAUACCCUGGUAGUCCACGCAGUAAACGAUGAAUACUAACUGUCCGGGCAGAAUGAUGCCUGG
RNAcentral lists this ribosomal RNA (644 nucleotides) under uncultured bacterium. Its description in RNAcentral is "bacterial SSU rRNA". It matches the Rfam family "Bacterial small subunit ribosomal RNA", at positions 202 to 842 of the family's 1533-position model. The record is from RNAcentral.